Molecule: ribosomal RNA, 383 nt
Filed under: uncultured bacterium
Lineage: Bacteria
Description: bacterial SSU rRNA
Rfam family: Bacterial small subunit ribosomal RNA
Source: RNAcentral
AUUGAACGCUGGCGGCAUGCCUUACACAUGCAAGUCGAACGGCAGCACGGGGCAACCUGGUGGCGAGUGGCGAACGGGUGAGUAAUGCAUCGGAACGUGCCAUUGAGUGGGGGAUAACGUAGCGAAAGUUGCGCUAAUACCGCAUAUUCUGUGAGCAGGAAAGCAGGGGACCGCAAGGCCUUGCGCUCUUUGAGCGGCCGAUGUCAGAUUAGCUAGUUGGUGAGGUAACGGCUUACCAAGGCGACGAUCUGUAGCGGGUCUGAGAGGAUGAUCCGCCACACUGGAACUGAGACACGGUCCAGACUCCUACGGGAGGCAGCAGUGGGGAAUUUUGGACAAUGGGCGCAAGCCUGAUCCGGCCAUGCCGCGUGAGUGAAGAAGGC